GACGAACGCUGGCGGCGUGCCUAAUACAUGCAAGUAGAACGCACAGUUUAUACCGUAGCUUGCUACACCAUAAACUGUGAGUUGCGAACGGGUGAGUAACGCGUAGGUAACCUGCCUGGUAGCGGGGGAUAACUAUUGGAAACGAUAGCUAAUACCGCAUAAUAUUGAUUAUUGCAUGAUAAUUGAUUGAAAGAUGCUAUUGCAUCACUACCAGAUGGACCUGCGUUGUAUUAGCUAGUAGGUGAGGUAACGGCUCACCUAGGCGACGAUACAUAGCCGACCUGAGGAGGUGAACGGCCACACUGGGACUGAGACACGGCCCAGACUCCUACGGGAGGCAGCAGUAGGGAAGCGUCGGCAAUGGACGAAAGUCUGACCGAGCAACGCCGCGUGAGUGAAGAAGGGUUUCGGAUCGUAAAGAUCUGUUGUAAGAGAAGAACGGGUGUGAGAGUGGAAAGUUCACAAUGUGACGGUAUCUUAGCAGAAAGGGACGGCUAACUACGUG
This 505-nucleotide ribosomal RNA is filed under the name uncultured bacterium. RNAcentral describes it as "partial 16S ribosomal RNA". It matches the Rfam family "Bacterial small subunit ribosomal RNA", at positions 28 to 507 of the family's 1533-position model. The record is from RNAcentral.